UCUCUCUGAAGCAGAAGGGGCUGUGAACAACCACAGAGGAAUAUAAGAGGAGAAGGGAAGUCUCUGGACUCGUCUUCUCCGUCGCGAUCCCUCUUUCCCCUGCUUCUUUCGACUUCGUGUAGUUCAAUCAAGAGGUGGUAAAAAAGAGGCGAACGGAGAACAGAACAAGACAAAAGAAGGCAGACAACACCAUCACCACCACCACCACCUGUACGCCAGUAGGCCCGCUCCCCUGUCUCUGUCUGCUCUCCUUGACUCCAAUUCUCCCGCUCUCCCCGCCCAUCCCCUGUUUUCCUCCCAAUUAAAUCUCUUCCCCCUUCCUAACUACACCACGGUCAACCAUAACGCCCUUUAAGCUCCCACUUUUCCUCGCUUUCUUGAUUCUUGAUCCUUUUUGCUACACGAAAAAUUUGAUUUUGAGUUCGAGGAAGAGGAGGGAGAAGAAGAGUGUAUCAUCCACAGAUUUGGAUCCAUCGAUCGAUCGUCAUGCCGUCUGGUGCGAAGAAGCGGAAGGCGGCCAGGCGCAAGAAGGAGAUGGCCCUCCCUUCUGCCGAUCCUUCUUCUCAAGAUAGUGGGCAUAACGAUGAGUUGAUGCCGGCUGAGGACAGCAAGGAGAGCGACGAUGGAUCCCCGACAUCUUCCUCAUCGUCUUCGUCAUCUCAGGAGCACCAUCGCUCUCGAUCUGCCGAGGAGUUGUUAGGAUCUGAUGCUGUUGUGUUUGAUAGCACAGCGGAGAGCGGCAAAGGAGUGGCCUUGGCAGAGGAAGUUGAAGCUGAGUCCCUCGUUGCUGUAGAGGAACCAGCUUAUACCACUACGGUCGAGUCCUUCGCUGAAUCGGAGGAUGUGGUUGUCGAAUUCCCUAAAUCUGAGAAGGAAGAUGAGGAAGUAGCCGAGGAAUCGGCUGUUCUUGUUGAAAAGGUUGUCGCUUUGGCUGAAGAGGAUAGACGUCUUGAUGAGGUUGCUGCUAAGGUUCUUGAGGAGACUUCAGGCGGAGUGAAAGAAGUGCCGCUUCCUGAUGCGGAUGAGGCUGUCGAUCAGCUUGGUGAGAGUGGCGACGCCCGCUGUGUUGCUGGGAAAGCUGAAAAUUUGCCGACUGUUGAGGUGUCGCCUGGUGCCGCACCGGUUGUGCAUCACGCAACAUGGUGGAAUUGUUGUGGAUUGCUUGAUGUAUUUGCAUGUUCUACGAGAUAAGCUCAGCUGGAAAGCAGCAAAACCUGGCACUGUCUAUCUCAGUGUAUAUUCGUGAAUCUGGAAGCUCAAGAAUCAGAUGGAUGUUCUUUAAUGAAGACUUCUCUAAUGAUGUCCCAUCAAGACUGGUCACAGAGUCAUAGUUUUAUAUGUUAAAGGAAAUCGAGUAGUGGUUUUGAUACAUCUGAAAUUUUGAUAAGUAUAUCAAUGCUGUUGGUAAUGGUCUCGUCUUGUUUCCUUGCAGUGGUUGUGAUUAAGUUUGUUGCUUGGUACUUUGUGGUUCAUAGGUUUUGAUACUGGAAAGAUCAAAAUUUGCAUGGCUGGGAACUCUGCUUUUGUUGUGGUCAAAUUUAUUUUCUCAUGUUUUUCGGAUUCGAAUAAUACUUUUCAUGUGUAUAAUCUUAUUCAGCUAGAAGAACCUUGUAAUUCUUUUUUCUUUUUUUCGGCUACACGAAUUGUUAUAUAACUCAAGUUUUUCCUGCCA
Musa acuminata subsp. malaccensis (wild Malaysian banana) is the source of this 1672-nucleotide RNA transcript. RefSeq lists it as uncharacterized. NCBI's taxonomy places the organism in Eukaryota, Viridiplantae, Streptophyta, Magnoliopsida, Zingiberales, Musaceae. The record is from RefSeq and is a predicted model, not a curated record.